This 253-nucleotide ribosomal RNA is filed under the name uncultured bacterium. Its description in RNAcentral is "partial 16S ribosomal RNA". It matches the Rfam family "Bacterial small subunit ribosomal RNA", at positions 524 to 776 of the family's 1533-position model. The record is from RNAcentral.
UACGUAGGGGGCAAGCGUUGUCCGGAGUUACUGGGCGUAAAGCGCACGCAGGCGGUCGCGUAAGAGUGCGGGGACAGUGGGCGGCUUAACUGCCCAAGGGUCGCACAGACUGCGUGACUGGAGGGCCAGAGAGGGACCUGGAAUUCCGGGUGGAGCGGUGAAAUGCGUAGAGAUCCGGAGGAACACCAGUGGCGAAGGCGGCUACCUGGACCAGCACUGACACUGAGGCACGAAAGCGUGGGGAGCAAACAGG